GAUGAACGCUGGCGGCGUGCCUCAAACAUGCAAGUCGAGCGAGGCUAUGAGUUACCGCAAGGUAAGGCAUAGCCUAGCGGCGAACGGGUGAGUAACACGUGGGUAACCUACCUGGAAGACAGGGAUAACGAUUCGAAAGGGUCGCUAAUACCUGAUAAUAUCCAUCUGCCGGAUGGCGGAGGGAAGAAAGGGGAAACCCGCUUUCAGAUGGGCCCGCGUCCCAUCAGCUAGUUGGUAAGGUAAAGGCUUACCAAGGCGACGACGGGUAGCCGGUCUGAGAGGAUGUACGGCCACACUGGGACUGAGAUACGGCCCAGACUCCUACGGGAGGCAGCAGUUGGGAAUCUUAGGCAAUGGACGAAAGUCUGACCUAGCGACGCCGCGUGAGGGAAGAAGGCCUUCGGGUUGUAAACCUCUGUCAUGGGGAAGAAGGAAGUGACGGUACCCAAGAGGAAGCCCCUGCUAACUACGUG
Molecule: ribosomal RNA, 473 nt
Filed under: uncultured bacterium
Lineage: Bacteria
Description: bacterial SSU rRNA
Rfam family: Bacterial small subunit ribosomal RNA
Source: RNAcentral